UGCAGCCAUGCCGCGUGUAGGAUGAAGGCCUUCGGGUUGUAAAGUACUUUCAGCGAGGAGGAAGGCAUUGUGGUUAAUAACCGCAAUGAUUGACGUUACUCGUACAAGACGCACCGGCUAACUCCGUGCCAGCUGCCACGGUAAUACGGAAGGUGCGAGCGUUAAUCGGAAUUACUGGGCGUAAAGCGCACGCAGGCGGUCUGUCAAGUCGGAUGUGAAAUCCCCGGGCUCAACCUGGGAACUGCAUUCCAAACUGGCAGGCUGGAGUCUUGUAGAGGGGGGUAGAAUUCCAGGUGUAGCGGUGAAAUGCCUAUAGAUCUGGAGGAAUACCGGUGGCGAACGCGGCCCCCUGGACAAAGACUGACGCUCAGGUGCGAAAGCGUGGGGAGCAAACAGGAUUACAUACCCUGGUAGUCCACGCCGUGGCGAUGUCGACUUGGAGGUUGUUCCCUUGAGGAGUGGCUUCCGGAGCUAAGGGUUAAGUCGACCGCCUGGGGAGUACGGCCGCAUGGUUAAAACUCAAAUGAAUUGACGGGGGCCCGCACAAGCGGUGGAGCAUGUGGUUUAAUU
This 570-nucleotide ribosomal RNA is filed under the name Enterobacteriaceae bacterium So1Ps_725. RNAcentral describes it as "bacterial SSU rRNA". It matches the Rfam family "Bacterial small subunit ribosomal RNA", at positions 387 to 951 of the family's 1533-position model. The record is from RNAcentral. Lineage: Bacteria; Pseudomonadati; Pseudomonadota; Gammaproteobacteria; Enterobacterales; Enterobacteriaceae.